Molecule: long non-coding RNA, 794 nt
Organism: Tupaia belangeri chinensis (Chinese tree shrew)
Lineage: Eukaryota; Metazoa; Chordata; Mammalia; Scandentia; Tupaiidae
Exons: 4
Source: RefSeq, a predicted model, not a curated record
CCUCCAUUUUGUAGCCCAUGCCACAGGAUCUUAGACAUAUAUUAAAAUAUUUAGUAUGAAAUGUCUAUACCUAGUCUCUCUUUUUCCCCCUUUCUUUUAAAGAAUUACACUUUCUCUCCACUGUGAAAGAACCACAUGUUCCUUAUUGAAGAUGUGAAUAAUUUGAAAAGGGAAAAAGAAAAACAGUCCCACUUCCCAAAGGACUCAGCUCUAACCGCCCCCUCACCCCCUGCCUCCAAGUUUGGUCUUUCUCUCCAUCACUUGGUCCUCUGCCAUUGGAUAUGCCAACUGUGCUGCCUUUCUAGAACAUGAGCAGAUCUUUCUGAUCCGUUCCUCUUUGCCCUUUUCUGAUCUGCCUGUCUAUCCAGAGUCAAUCCAGGUGAGAGAAGAGAUUUAAUUGGCACGGUCAUUCAGGCAGAACCCACCUCCUAUGGACAUUGAAAAUGCCAGAUCCUUGUUUUUUCAUCUUUCCUUGCAAGACAGGCCUGGGCGUGUGGCCAAAUCUCAGCCAAGAAUAUGUGAAAAGCAAUCUUUUUGAAGACUUUGGAAAAAAAAGAGGUCUUCUCCAUUAAAAAAGACAUGCACGGGAGAAUCAGCCUCACUCACGCAUUCUAUUUUUGCAAGCUGUGUGAGAUGCAGUGUUUGGAACAACCACCACCCUGCAGCUGUGAAGGAAGGCAUAACCUAUGCACUAGGAGGUGGAUGGGCCCCGUGUGACCUCGAGUCACUGCCAGAAUUACCCUGGGGCAAUCUCUGGACUGUGGGUACAAGAGAAAACAAAAUGUUUAGCUGUC